Brassica napus (rape) is the source of this 85-nucleotide non-coding RNA. The record is from Rfam. NCBI's taxonomy places the organism in Eukaryota, Viridiplantae, Streptophyta, Magnoliopsida, Brassicales, Brassicaceae.
AAUGGUGAUGAAUAACUAAGAUAUGAUUUAGGAAAAACUUACGUGUUGAGAAAAGUAUAAGACCAAUGAAUAUGAAAGCUACUUU